GGCUAUAUAAGGUUGAAACACCGGUUCUUGUACGAUCGCCGAAGUUAAGCAACGUCGAGCCUGGUCAGUACUUAGAUGGAUGACCGCUUGAGAAUACCAGGUGCUAU
RNAcentral lists this ribosomal RNA (107 nucleotides) under Acanthosepion pharaonis. The record is from RNAcentral. Lineage: Eukaryota; Metazoa; Mollusca; Cephalopoda; Sepiida; Sepiidae.